This 824-nucleotide long non-coding RNA is filed under the name Hordeum vulgare. RNAcentral's name for it is "long non-coding RNA (HVUL_LNC006642)". The record is from RNAcentral. Lineage: Eukaryota; Viridiplantae; Streptophyta; Magnoliopsida; Poales; Poaceae.
GUGUCCGUGAGUUGCGAUCGCGAGAGAAAUAGCAAAGAGAAGCCAGGAAGCCUUUGGCCAAGGAGUUCUUGAGCGUGUGCGUCGUCCACGCCCUAGAACCUUGCGGAUCCUCCCUACACGGCAGCAACAGCAAUGUGCUCCAUGUUCAGCAGCCUCAAUUUCGUAAGCCUCCCCGUCGCUUCUUCCAGAAAGAAGCCUCUUCUAGGUUAGAUAUAUUCUGACCUUGUUCCGUUGCAUCUUCUUGUUUAUGUUGCAGUUGGCUGCGGCGUCAGGUUUAGGCGGGAGCGUCAUCCACGGCCCCGUCAAGCUCACCACCCUCAAGGUAACUGACUCCCCUUUGCCUCCUUUGCUUGUACCGCAACUUUAAGUUCCUGUAAAAGUGCCAAACUAAAUAAGUUUUCUUUUGUGUGUGUGUGCAUGUAACUGUAGUAGUAUUUCUCUUCUUUAGGAUUCCUUGUUGCUAUAUAUCUAGUUCCUUAUUGUUAUCUUCUGUACUAUGAUAUAACCGCCGACUCUCCGUUGCUGAUACAGCCACGAGAAAUCAUGGAUCAGCGCCUCAUCAAACGAGGUGAUACGGUGGUCGCUCAAGCCAAGGUUCGUUGGACCGUGUUUCCCUCGCUGUCAACCUGGGAGGAUACAGAAGACUUGAAGCUGAACUUUCCACAUCUGGUUGUACCUCACAAUGACGGAGGAGCGAAUACUAGCGUCCGACCCGCAAACUGAAAGUAAUACUCCCUCCGUCCUAAAAUAAUUAUCUCAAUUUAUACUAGCUUUAAUAUAAAAUUGUAUUAAGCUUAAGACAUUUAUUUUAAAACAAAUGGAGU